Molecule: ribosomal RNA, 253 nt
Filed under: uncultured bacterium
Lineage: Bacteria
Description: partial 16S ribosomal RNA
Rfam family: Bacterial small subunit ribosomal RNA
Source: RNAcentral
UACGUAGGGGGCAAGCGUUGUCCGGAAUCAUUGGGCGUAAAGAGCGCGUAGGCGGCCCUGUAAGUCCGCUGUGAAAGUCAAGGGCUCAACCCUUGAAUGCCGGUGGAUACUGCAGGGCUAGAGUCCGGAAGAGGCGAGUGGAAUUCCUGGUGUAGCGGUGAAAUGCGCAGAUAUCAGGAGGAACACCGAUGGCGAAGGCGGCAUCCUGGACCGGUAUUGACGCUGAUGCGCGAAAGCUAGGGGAGCAAACAGG